AUUGAACGCUGGCGGCAGGCCUAACACAUGCAAGUCGAACGGCAACAGGAAGCAGCUUGCUGCUUCGCUGACGAGUGGCGGACGGGUGAGUAAUGUCUGGGAAACUGCCUGAUGGAGGGGGAUAACUACUGGAAACGGUAGCUAAUACCGCAUAACGUCGCAAGACCAAAGAGGGGGACCUUAGGGCCUCUUGCCAUCGGAUGUGCCCAGAUGGGAUUAGCUAGUAGGUGGGGUAACGGCUCACCUAGGCGACGAUCCCUAGCUGGUCUGAGAGGAUGACCAGCCACACUGGAACUGAGACACGGUCCAGACUCCUACGGGAGGCAGCAGUGGGGAAUAUUGCACAAUGGGCGCAAGCCUGAUGCAGCCAUGCCGCGUGUAUGAAGAAGGCCUUCGGGUUGUAAAGUACUUUCAGCGGGGAGGAAGGGAGUAAAGUUAAUACCUUUGCUCAUUGACGUUACCCGCAGAAGAAGCACCGGCUAACUCCGUG
Molecule: ribosomal RNA, 490 nt
Filed under: uncultured bacterium
Lineage: Bacteria
Description: partial 16S ribosomal RNA
Rfam family: Bacterial small subunit ribosomal RNA
Source: RNAcentral